This 377-nucleotide unclassified non-coding RNA is filed under the name uncultured Parachlamydiaceae bacterium. RNAcentral's name for it is "contains 16S-23S intergenic spacer region". The record is from RNAcentral. Lineage: Bacteria; Pseudomonadati; Chlamydiota; Chlamydiia; Parachlamydiales; Parachlamydiaceae.
UCCCGGUUAACCCGGGCAGUCUCGUUAGAGUUCCCAUCCUAAAUGUUGGCAACUAACGAUAAGGGUUGCGCUCGUUGCGGGACUUAACCCAACACCUCACGGCACGAGCUGACGACAGCCAUGCAGCACCUGUGCAGCAGUCCCGAAGGAAGACGACAUUUCUGUCGCUGUCUACUGCAUGUCAAGCCUGGGUAAGGUUCUUCGCGUUGCAUCGAAUUAAACCACAUGCUCCACUGCUUGUGCGGGUCCCCGUCAAUUCUUUUGAGUUUCAGCCUUGCGACUGUACUCCCCAGGCGGUAUACUUAACGCGUUAGCUACGGCACAGCCAGGGUUGAUUCCAGCUACACCAAGUAUACAUCGUUUACGGCAAGGACUAC